UGCUCCUAUGUUCUAGCAAGCAAUGAAGCUGAAACCUGGCAUGCUUGUCUGCUCCUAUAUUCUAAUAAUCAAUGAAGCUGAAACCUGGCCUGCUUGUCUGCUCCUAUGUUCUAACAAGCAAUGAAGCUGAAACCUGGCCUGCUUGUCUGCUCCUAUGUUCUAGCAAGCAAUGAAGCUGAAACCUGGCAUGCUUGUCUGCUCCUAUAUUCUAACAAGCAAUGAAGCUGAAACCUGGCAUGCUUGUCUGCUCCUAUGUUCUAACAAGCAAUGAAGCUGAAACCUGGCAUGCUUGUCUGCUCCUAUAUUCUAACAAGCAAUGAAGCUGAAACCUGGCAUGCUUGUCUGCUCCUAUAUUCUAACAAGCAAUGAAGCUGAAACCUGGCAUGCUUGUCUGCUCCUAUAUUCUAACAAGCAAUGAAGCUGAAACCUGGCAUGCUUGUCUGCUCCUAUGUUCUAACAAGCAAUGAAGCUGAAACCUGGCAUGCUUGUCUGCUCCUAUGUUCUAGCAAGCAAUGAAGCUGAAACCUGGCAUGCUUGUCUGCUCCUAUAUUCUAACAAGCAAUGAAGCUGAAACCUGGCAUGCUUGUCUGCUCCUAUGUUCUAACAAGCAAUGAAGCUGAAACCUGGCAUGCUUGUCUGCUCCUAUAUUCUAACAAGCAAUGAAGCUGAAACCUGGCAUGCUUGUCUGCUCCUAUGUUCUAACAAGCAAUGAAGCUGAAACCUGGCAUGCUUGUCUGCUCCUAUGUUCUAACAAGCAAUGAAGCUGAAACCUGGCAUGCUUGUCUGCUCCUAUGUUCUAACAAGCAAUGAAGCUGAAACCUGGCAUGCUUGUCUGCUCCUAUGUUCUAACAAGCAAUGAAGCUGAAACCUGGCAUGCUUGUCUGCUCCUAUAUUCUAACAAGCAAUCAAGCUGAAACCUGGCAUGCUUGUUACCACAUGUAGGAGUUCUGGGUUUUUAUGUAAUAUUUAAUGGUGAAAAUUUACCAUUAUUUGAUAACUUUGACCAUGUCUUACCUUCCAUGCACUCAGUGAUGUGUAAACAUCUCGGAAACUGUUUAACUGUUUUAAAGGUGAAGUCUGGUUGGCAUUUUGCUUCUAAUGAUGAGACAUGGAUUUGCUCCAGUGCUGAUUCUAGGUCUGUUUAGGUGCAUAGCAACUAAGGCUUUUGUUAAUGGGUGACUGAAAUGUAUCAGGUGACAGUCAUCUUGACAAUGUCCUCUGCUUAUGUGUCUUUGUAAAAUUGUCUUAUGCAGUAUGCUGAAAGACCCUGUAAGAUGUGUUCCAAAUUCAUCCUUGGAAGAUGUGAAAGUCAUUUGGCUCGCUAGUUUUUCUUCUGUGAAAGUGUUCCAGGGUAGAAAUUGAGGAUAUUUGUUGUUUAGAAUGUUUUAUAGUGAAUGUUCUUAUUUAUUCAUUCUUGUUUGGCUUGCUUAUGUUGAAAAUAUUCAGGUGAGCUACACAGCUUUAAGACUUUAUCAGCCUAACUCAAAUUGCUUAACAAUUAAAAUGUUACCCCAUGAACUUUGACAUGAAUUACACGAAUGAGAGCAACAAUUGGAUAGACAGAAAGCCAAAUACACCUGUCUGUUAUGAGAACUUAUUGGUUGAUGUUAUAAGAAACUUUACUGUGGUAGUUAUCUGAUUUACUGAUAACAAUCCUUGAUCAUGUUAACUUUUACAAGUUGUAUUUAUUCAUGGUUUUAUAAAUGUAUUUACAAUGCAAAUGUGUUUGUUAUUUAUUAAAUGUGCACAUGGUGCUCCUCUU
This 1762-nucleotide long non-coding RNA is filed under the name Haliotis rubra (blacklip abalone). RNAcentral describes it as "uncharacterized LOC124292129". Lineage: Eukaryota; Metazoa; Mollusca; Gastropoda; Lepetellida; Haliotidae. The record is from RNAcentral.